AUGAACGCUGGCGGCGUGCUUAACACAUGCAAGUCGAGCGAAGCACUAAAGCGGAUUUCUUCGGAUUGAAGGUUUAGUGACUGAGCGGCGGACGGGUGAGUAACGCGUGGGUAACCUGCCUCAUACAGGGGGAUAACAGUUGGAAACGGCUGCUAAUWCCGCAUAAGCGCACAGUACCGCAUGGUACGGUGUGAAAAACUCCGGUGGUAUGAGAUGGACCCGCGUCUGAUUAGGUAKUUGGUGGGGUAACGGCCUACCAAGCCGACGAUCAGUAGCCGACCUGAGAGGGUGACCGGCCACAUUGGGACUGAGACACGGCCCAAACUCCUACGGGAGGCAGCAGUGGGGAAUAUUGCACAAUGGGGGAAACCCUGAUGCAGCGACGCCGCGUGAGCGAAGAAGUAUUUCGGUAUGU
This 415-nucleotide ribosomal RNA is filed under the name uncultured bacterium. Its description in RNAcentral is "bacterial SSU rRNA". It matches the Rfam family "Bacterial small subunit ribosomal RNA", at positions 29 to 426 of the family's 1533-position model. The record is from RNAcentral.